RNAcentral lists this ribosomal RNA (412 nucleotides) under uncultured bacterium. Its description in RNAcentral is "bacterial SSU rRNA". It matches the Rfam family "Bacterial small subunit ribosomal RNA", at positions 30 to 444 of the family's 1533-position model. The record is from RNAcentral.
AUUGAACGCUGGCGGCAUGCCUUACACAUGCAAGUCGAACGGCAGCACGGGAGCAAUCCUGGUGGCGAGUGGCGAACGGGUGAGUAAUAUAUCGGAACGUGCCCAGUCGUGGGGAUAACGUAGCGAAAGCUACGCUAAUACCGCAUACGAUCUAUGGAUGAAAGCGGGGGAUCGCAAGACCUCGCGCGAUUGGAGCGGCCGAUAUCAGAUUAGGUAGUUGGUGAGGUAAAGGCUCACCAAGCCGACGAUCUGUAGCUGGUCUGAGAGGACGACCAGCCACACUGGGACUGAGACACGGCCCAGACUCCUACGGGAGGCAGCAGUGGGGAAUUUUGGGACAAUGGGCGCAGGCCUGAUCCAGCAAUGCCGCGUGCAGGAUGAAGGCCUCGGUUGUAACUAGCUUUGUUACGGU